Neoarius graeffei (lesser salmon catfish) is the source of this 83-nucleotide non-coding RNA. The record is from the annotation of a RefSeq genome assembly. Lineage: Eukaryota; Metazoa; Chordata; Actinopteri; Siluriformes; Ariidae.
ACCAGGAUGGCCAAGUGGUUAAGGCGUUGGCCUCAAGUUCCAAUGGACAGGUGCCCUCGUGGGUUCAAGUCCCACUCCUGGUA